Molecule: transfer RNA, 74 nt
Filed under: Kangiella koreensis DSM 16069
Lineage: Bacteria; Pseudomonadati; Pseudomonadota; Gammaproteobacteria; Kangiellales; Kangiellaceae
Rfam family: tRNA
About the family: Transfer RNA (tRNA) molecules are approximately 80 nucleotides in length. Their secondary structure includes four short double-helical elements and three loops (D, anti-codon, and T loops).
Source: Rfam by way of RNAcentral
GCGUCCGUAGCUCAGUUGGAUAGAGCAACGGCCUUCUAAGCCGUGGGUCGCAGGUUCGAAUCCUGCCGGACGCG